GUGGGGAAUAUUGGACAAUGGGCGCAAGCCUGAUCCAGCAAUGCCGCGUGUGUGAAGAAGGCCUGCGGGUUGUAAAGCACUUUAAGCAGGGAGGAGGGGUACUGGCGUGAAUAGCGUUGGUAUCUGACGUUACCUGCAGAAUAAGCACCGGCUAACUUCGUGCCAGCAGCCGCGGUAAUACGAAGGGUGCAAGCGUUAAUCGGAAUUACUGGGCGUAAAGCGCGUGUAGGCGGUUAUUUAAGUCAGAUGUGAAAGCCCCGGGCUCAACCUGGGAAUGGCAUUUGAUACUGGGUAACUGGAAUGUGGUAGAGGGAGGCGGAAUUUCCGGUGUAGCGGUGAAAUGCGUAGAUAUCGGAAAGAACACCAAUGGCGAAGGCAGCCUCCUGGGCCAACAUUGACGCUGAGACGCGAAAGCGUGGGGAGCAAACAGGAUUAGAAACCCUAGUAGUCC
Molecule: ribosomal RNA, 451 nt
Filed under: uncultured bacterium
Lineage: Bacteria
Description: bacterial SSU rRNA
Rfam family: Bacterial small subunit ribosomal RNA
Source: RNAcentral